This 253-nucleotide ribosomal RNA is filed under the name uncultured bacterium. RNAcentral's name for it is "partial 16S ribosomal RNA". It matches the Rfam family "Bacterial small subunit ribosomal RNA", at positions 524 to 776 of the family's 1533-position model. The record is from RNAcentral.
UACGUAGGUGGCAAGCGUUACUCGGAAUCACUAGGCGUAAAGCGCAGGUAGGUGGCUUGAUAAGUCUAUUGUGAAAGCUCCCGGCUUAACUGGGAGAGGUCAAUGGAUACUGUUAGGCUUGAGUGUGGUAGGGGAAACUGGAAUUCCUGGUGUAGCGGUGAAAUGCGUAGAUAUCAGGAGGAACACCUAAGGCGAAAGCAGGUUUCUGGGCCAACACUGACACUGAGCUGCGAAAGCUAGGGGAGCAAGCAGG